UCCAGACUCCUACGGGAGGCAGCAGUGAGGAAUAUUGGUCAAUGGUCGGGAGACUGAACCAGCCAAGUCGCGUGAGGGAAUAAGGCCCUACGGGUCGUAAACCUCUUUUGCCGGGGAGCAAGGGCGGGGACGUGUCCCGGCCCGGAGAGUACCCGGAGAAAAAGCAUCGGCUAACUCCGUGCCAGCAGCCGCGGUAAUACGGAGGAUGCGAGCGUUAUCCGGAUUUAUUGGGUUUAAAGGGUGCGUAGGCGGGCUUUUAAGUCAGCGGUAAAAAUUCGGGGCUCAACCCCGUCCGGCCGUUGAAACUGGCGUUCUUGAGUGGGCGAGAAGUACGCGGAAUGCGUGAUGUAGCGGUGAAAUGCAUAGAUAUCACGCGGAACCCCGAUUGCGAAGGCAGCGUACCGGCGCCCGACUGACGCUGAAGCACGAAAGCGUGGGUAUCGACCAGGAUUAGAUACCCGGGUAUA
Molecule: ribosomal RNA, 467 nt
Filed under: uncultured bacterium
Lineage: Bacteria
Description: bacterial SSU rRNA
Rfam family: Bacterial small subunit ribosomal RNA
Source: RNAcentral